Molecule: ribosomal RNA, 405 nt
Filed under: uncultured bacterium
Lineage: Bacteria
Description: partial 16S ribosomal RNA
Rfam family: Bacterial small subunit ribosomal RNA
Source: RNAcentral
GAUGAACGCUGGCGGCGUGCCUAAUACAUGCAAGUCGAGCGAAGCGGGGACGGGUGAGUAACACGUGGAUAACCUCCUAUAAGACUGGGAUAACUUCGGGAAACCGGAGCUAAACCGGAUACUAAUAGAUGGAUCCGCGCUGCAUUAGCUAGGUGGUAAGGUAACGGCUUACCAAGGCAACGAUGCAUAGACGACCUGAGAGGGUGAUCGGCAACACUGUACCUUAGACACUGUCCCGCCUCCUACGGGAGGCAGCAGUAGGGAAUCUGCCGCAGUGGGCGGAAGCCUGACGGAGCAACGCCGCGUGAGUGAUGAAGGUCUGCGGAUCGUAAAACUCUGUUAUUAGGGAAGCGGUACCUAAUCAGAAAGCCACGGCUAACUACGUGCCAGCAGCCGCGGUAAUAC